GUUUCCGGGUGUGCGGGUGUGUGGCCAGCCUGCUGGGUGGGUCUGGUUGGCUGGGAUAUGUGUGGGGGGCUCUGAGACCACCUGUUGGACAGGGCUGGGAGGGAAGAGGUCAGCUCCACCCACCCAAGGCCAGGCCCCCUCUGUGGCCCAGAUCUUCCUGUGGUUGGGGGCAGCUGCCAGCGAGUGGAAGCAGGAGGCUGUGGCCUGGGGCCAGGAGUACCUGAAGACCCACCCGGCAGGGAGGAGCCUGGCCACACCCAUUGUGCUGGUCAAGCAGGGCCACGAGCCUCCCACCUUCAUUGGAUGGUUCUGCACCUGGGACCCCUACAAAUGGAGUGUGAGUGACACCUGGACUCCCCCAUCCCCACCCUAAUCCACAGGAGGGGGCCACCCUGGUAUACUGAGGGGGAGCCAUCACCCUGCCCAGGGACCUCCGGUCUGUGGAGGGAACCUGAUCCCUUUGUUGCCCCUCCAUCAAGCUCCCAUCCUGAUUCUUGCCCCUAGAACACCCAGUCCUACGAGGAGGUGGUGGCGGGUGACCCGGGAGCAGUUUCUACCAUCUCUGAGAUAACAGCCGAGAUCGUCAACUUCCGGCUGUCCAGAUGGCCAGGCAAUGACAGGGCAGGCCCGUUGGCCCUGCGGGCCCUCAAGAGCUCCGAGGACAUCUCAGAGAGUGAGCUGGAGCUGGGCCCCCGCGCAGGCACCGGCAGCCGGCGCACCGGCCGCAGCGCCAGCAGCAGCUUUGCAGCAGCUACCAGAGCAGCCCCCAAUCCCUGGGCAGUGGGGGCCUGCCCCGGGAACAGCUGAGGCACCAGGCUGUCGAGGACCUGCCGGAGGGCGUGGACCCGGCCCACAAGGAGGCCUAUCUCUCAGACUCUGAUUUCCAAGAUAUCUUUGGGAAGUCCAAGGAGGAGUUCUACAGCAUGGCCAAGUGGAGGCAGCAGCAGGAGAAGCAGCAGCUUGGCUUCUUCUGAACCCAGGCCCUGCCCUGCCAGUGCCACCCAGAUGGUCCAGGCGUGGGCACCCGCCUGCGGGCACCUCCGUACAAAUACCAGAGCCUGAGGAGGUCAGGCCCUGCCCUGCCAGUGCCACCCAGAUGGCCCAGGCGUGGGCACCUGCCUGCGGGCACCCCCAUACAAAUACCAGAGCCUGAGGAGGCCCUCCUGGCACUCCCUCCUUGGAGACUCCUGGUCCCUAAAAUAAAAG
RNAcentral lists this long non-coding RNA (1206 nucleotides) under Bos mutus (wild yak). RNAcentral's name for it is "lncRNA (ENSBMUG00000018722.1)". The record is from RNAcentral. Lineage: Eukaryota; Metazoa; Chordata; Mammalia; Artiodactyla; Bovidae.